UCACAGGCCAGACGGCGAUGGGCGUGCAAUCACGCUUAAGAUAUGGUCGAGUGACCCGUCGAGAGGCGGGUGCAACUCAGGAACGUCCGUAGGUGAACCUGCGGAAGGAUCAUU
Molecule: ribosomal RNA, 114 nt
Filed under: Thyrinula eucalypti
Lineage: Eukaryota; Fungi; Ascomycota; Dothideomycetes; Asterinales; Asterinaceae
Description: partial 18S ribosomal RNA
Source: RNAcentral